This 493-nucleotide ribosomal RNA is filed under the name uncultured bacterium. Its description in RNAcentral is "bacterial SSU rRNA". It matches the Rfam family "Bacterial small subunit ribosomal RNA", at positions 43 to 524 of the family's 1533-position model. The record is from RNAcentral.
CAGGCCUAACACAUGCAAGUCGGACGGUAGCACAGUAGGAGCUUGCUCCUUGGGUGACGAGUGGCGGACGGGUGAGUAAUGUCUGGGGAUCUGCCCGAUAGAGGGGGAUAACCACUGGAAACGGUGGCUAAUACCGCAUAACGUCGCAAGACCAAAGAGGGGGACCUUCGGGCCUCUCACUAUCGGAUGAACCCAGAUGGGAUUAGCUAGUAGGCGGGGUAAUGGCCCACCUAGGCGACGAUCCCUAGCUGGUCUGAGAGGAUGACCAGCCACACUGGAACUGAGACACGGUCCAGACUCCUACGGGAGGCAGCAGUGGGGAAUAUUGCACGAUGGGCGCAAGCCUGAUGCAGCCAUGCCGCGUGUAUGAAGAAGGCCUUCGGGUUGUAAAGUACUUUCAGCGGGGAGGAAGGCGAUGCGGUUAAUAACCGCGUCGAUUGACGUUACCCGCAGAAGAAGCACCGGCUAACUCCGUGCCAGCAGCCGCGGUAAU